GACGAACGCUGGCGGCGUGCUUAACACAUGCAAGUCGAACGGAAAGGCCCUGCUUUUGUGGGGUGCUCGAGUGGCGAACGGGUGAGUAACACGUGAGUAACCUGCCCUUGACUUUGGGAUAACUUCAGGAAACUGGGGCUAAUACCGGAUAGGAGCUCCUGCUGCAUGGUGGGGGUUGGAAAGUUUCGGCGGUUGGGGAUGGACUCGCGGCUUAUCAGCUUGUUGGUGGGGUAGUGGCUUACCAAGGCUUUGACGGGUAGCCGGCCUGAGAGGGUGACCGGCGAGACGGGAGCUGGGGCAGGGGCGAGACGGCUAGGGGAGGGAGCAGUAGGGAAGCGGCCGCAAUGGGCGAAAGCCUGACGGAGCAACGAGGCGUGAGUGAUGAAGGUCUUGGGAGCGGAAAGCUGGGUUAUGAGGGAAGAACAAAUGUGUAAGUAACUAGACAGGGCGUGACGGUACAGAAUAAGGAAGCAACGGCUAACUACGUG
This 488-nucleotide ribosomal RNA is filed under the name uncultured bacterium. RNAcentral describes it as "partial 16S ribosomal RNA". It matches the Rfam family "Bacterial small subunit ribosomal RNA", at positions 28 to 507 of the family's 1533-position model. The record is from RNAcentral.